GGCAUUUUGUGUAUGUAAGCAAGUCUAGUCGUCUUGGCAAAGCAGUAGAUAUCUCUGGAGGCAGGAGGAAACAUGCUUUGGAUGUGCUUGCAUGUUUCUAAGCCUUUAAAUGUUUAAAUGUUUCUAAGUCUUUAAAUGGCAUGCGACAGGUAAAUGAAUCACCUGCCACAGGAUUUCUCUGAGUGUCUCUAGCUGAAAUAGGUCAGGCACUUGAAGCAGCUGAAGCUGAGUCCAGGCCAGAAAUCUGGCCCCUAGUGCAUCACUGGGAUUUCACGUGCAGCCUGUGUUGGAUGGAACCUGUGGAACAGAGAUGACACAUGAAUAAGGUGCUUCCUAGCAAAAUUGUUUGCAAAUCUUUCUGAAGUGGAAGGCUGUCUCUUCACGUUUUGGGGCCCGGGGGUGUUCUGCCUCAUCCUUUUGACUGAUAAUAGAGUUGUGCCCACCUGGCUGGUGGCAUUGCCCACAUCUGAUUAGAUGCAUUUGUUCCUGUCGCAUCAGCUGAGUGUUCAGUUAUCCAAGAUCUUGUCCCCCUUUAUUCCCUUCAAUUGCUUCAUUGCUUACACUGUGAGUGGAGCUGCAGUGAACUUGUGACCAGUGUCCUUCACUGCAGUCACAGCAGUAAGGCUGGAGGGCAGUGGUGAUCGCAGCCUUCACAGGGGCAUCUCAGUAACUUCCCCCUGCUGUAAACUCUGAGCCCAGGUUCCCCCACUGAGGGGAGAAAUGACGAACCUUCAAAGGGUCUCUUGGCUGGUGCAGUGGUGUGACAGUCCUGUGACAGUCCUGACACAGCAGCCUGGGUAGUUGGAGGUCUGUAGCUGGCUCUGGGGAAUUAAACCCAGCAGUGUUUGUGCUCACUUUGGGAGAGAAUUAAAUGCUAUUAGUGGUUUACGAACUGUAGGUGUUGAACCUAUGUGGGGCCCAUUGGGACCUCAAACCCACUGUUCUAGGUACUGUGGUGUGCCCCACAGGGAAAGUGCAAACCAGUGCAUUAGGGUUAUUAAAUGAAACCUACACUUAAGAUGCAUGAAUUUUCUGCAGAGUGCAUAUAAACCUCUUGUGCACGAGCUGUGGAUUUGUGCAGCGUGGUUUGGUUUUCUGAAGUGUGCACUUUGAGCUCAUGUGCAGUGGGCUUUUAUGUGUAUUUCUGCAGGUGAACAUAUGCUUAAGGGUCUGCCCCUGUGCAUUAAGUAUGCAGUUAAUGUAUGGAUAAUUGUUUUGUAAGCACUGUAUUUACGGCACUGCUUUCUCCAGCAUACACGUUGUGUGCGUACAACCCAUAAGUGUCACGUCAUUUGACUGUUCUAUUUUCCUGUCUUCUGGACUGAACAAUUGAGGGUGUUUUUGGAGUGCAUCGGAUGUAUUAUUUCCUUUCACAGCAAUUGUACAUUUGCUAAUGUCAAAUUUAUUCUGAAUUGUAAACUGACACAGUUCUCGACUGGAUAGACCAAGAUCUUUGUUGCACAGAAUGGACGGAUGUUUUAUUUGCAUGCUCAGUGUAUGUGUAUUCCGAAAGCACACACGCUUUUGUUGUCUGCAGAAAUAGCAGGUGCUUCGCACUGAAAAUAACCUGUGUUGUAAAUGUUUGUGAAGGUGGGGGUUAUAGCAUUUAUGCUCAGAGCCCGCAACAAAAGUGUAUUUUAUCUCUAAAAAUCAGCGUGCUCUGUGUUAUGGUUGUGCAGCGUAAGCACAUAUUUUCCUGCAUUUGCUGGCACAGUUACAGAAGUGUUGAGUCUUCAUAUUGUUAAAAUAACAGAAGAGUUGUCCACAUAUUUUCUAAUUUUUUAAAAUAUCCUCCAGCUUCUGUGGUUUAAAUUUCUAAGCGUCUGUCCAAGAGAUAUAUGUCAAAACAUCAGGAAGGAUAUUUAGGCAGUUAUGUCAGCGGAAUGGAGCAAGGUUGUGAGUUAAUGCUUUUCUGAUGCAAUAGAAAAGGGAAAAUGGUGAAAAAGAGCCACAAAUAAAAUAUAAAAUGAACAAGAUCAACCAAGGUAAAGUUGAGGUUUGUUCUUAAAUUGGAGGCACCUACAACAAAAGAAUUCAGAUGACUAUAUUCCUGUUUUAUGCCAUCCUGUGAUCACGUCGUCCUGUCCCAGACCUCACAGCCUCUCGGGUCAGUCCCCAGGAAUCAGGAAGGAUGAUGUAGUGCUUCCAGCCUUGGUCCUUCCUCUUUGGCUGUCCUGCCCGGUAGUCAGGUGCCUUGAAAAGGAGUUAAGGCCUUCAUUAUCCCACCAUUUCUUUUCAAUGACAUUUUAAAGAGCUGACACAGAGGAGGCAUGAUUGAAGCACCUGCUGCUUUUCUCUGUAAUUACCCAGUUUCCUUGUUGGGGCUGAAAUUAUUGCCCUGCAAGAGUGCAACGUCCCUAUUAUCACGUAAGAGCCAAACACAAACCUGUCUGGCUGCAGCUGGCACCAUUCCACGUAAAGACAAAAAUGAUUUUCCUUGGCUGCUGGGCUAUACCGCAGGGUACCCAAGCCCAGAUUAAAGUGGUAGAGCUGGAGGGGAGGUGAUGUGUGGCUUGAGAUGCUUCUCAGACUGUAAUUAGUCCUCUAACAGCCUUUGAUGUGGAUUAGCUGACUGGAGGCCUUGCCUGUAGCCAGGGGUAGGAGUGGGAGAGCACAGCCAGGAUCUAAAAGGGGCAAACCUGAGAAAAAUUAAGAACGGGUUCAAGUCACAGUAAUCAAGUGAUGGUUGAGGAAAAGUCCUGCUUGUUGGACACAUUCUGCAGCAUUGGCUUCUUAGAAGGUGUCUGAAGAGGGUCUGCAGCCAUUGCCAAGGGAACUGCGUCUGGAGAUAUGGGAAAACAUGAAAGCAGGAACAGUUAACAUUUCUUGGCCUUUUUUGCAAAAGGCAGGAGCAUGCCAGGGACUGUGUGAGACCCCAGAGGGAGCUGGCGGGGAUUCUUGUAGUAUUUGUUGCCCAGCUGCUAUUUUGACUUCAAAUCCAUAAGAAUCAACAAAUAACAAGGCCUGGAGCUUGAGUACUGUCCCCUGAGCUGAGUUCUCUGUCUCUACCUGAUUCUAAAUUGAGCUCCAAGACAGAUGCAGGAGCGUUAGCCAGUGGAUGUGCAGAGUGAGAGAAGGAAGGAAAGAACAGGAGGAUUAGGCUGGAGGAUCACUGCAGUAAAUGACUUCCAUGCUCAGAGAGCUCGAAAGCCCUUUGUAAUAAAGGAGAAGGCAAAACCAAAUUCCGUGUAGCCUCUGAGCCGUGUGGAUAAACCUUAGCUCAGCCCAGUGGGUUUUUGUGGAGCUCAGCUCUCACCCAGCCGUCUGCCCCUCGCUUCCCAUUCCCCUUAGCAACACGGGCUGCCUCUCCCCUGCCUCCUCUCCCUCCAGCAUCUUGUGACAGGCAUGGAAACCCUGGGAUCCCUGAUGCUGGAAUGGCAUUUGGGCCUAGCUGGAAUUGUUUAUAAGCACAGAGCUUUGAUGCUGUCUCCAAAGCCUCUGGAGAGCUGAGCAGGGCUAUUUUUCAUGUGAUGCUUUUGGAGAAUGUUAUGGGAAAAGGUCAAGGGACAUAGUGGGAAUGGGUAGGUCACAUACUCAUUGGUUUAGGGCACCGCGACAACAUUGCUUCUUUAAGAUCUCAGAGCCUGCUUUGUAAAAAUAAGCACCUCUCACUGAGCUGCCUGGGAAAGAAGAGGGGCAUGUCUCCUGCAGGCGGAUGUUCACAGCCUUCUCUGGGUUCGUUCUCUUGCCUUGGCAGUUGCUGCGUCUGAGUGUCCCUGUGAACCAGACAGAUCCCUCAGACUGUGCAGCAUUUUAAAAAGCUUCCUUGCUUACCACUUUGACCUUUGUAAGGCAAGGAGAAAUUCUGUACAAGCAGGGGCUGCCUUCUGCCCCUGGCACUCUUUGUGGCUGUCCUUCAGCGGGAUCUGGGCACAGCGCUGCAGGGUUCAUUGGUCCAUCCUUGUGUCCUCCAUGCUGGGUCUGUGGGCAAAAAGAGCUCCAGGAUGGAGCUAUUUGACACCCCCCCCCUUUUUGAUUUUACGUGCUGUCUUUGCUUGUUUAAAUCUGGGAUGAGGAGCAGUCUAGCAAGGAUUGUCCUCCCUUUCUUCCUCCCUGAUGCACGCUGCCACACUGCAGAUAACAGGCUGGGUGCGGGGCCUGUGUGAAGGAGCAGGAAGCAGAGGGGUGAGGUACAAGUCAUGUACAUUGGAAGCAGAAGCUGAAUGUGCAUUUCCUUACUCUUGCCAUCAAUCAUUCAAAUUUCCUGUACACUGUGGAACAGAGUGGUAGAGUUUGCUCAUUCCCCAUUUCCCCCAGGAAUGGAAGCACUCAUUUGUUUCACUGUCUAGAAGUGCUGAUCACUCAUAUUUGUUUUUUUCCGACGCGUGCCGUUCAGAAGCUGACCUUUUCAGCUUCUUCCUUCUUGGCCUUCGGAAAUAUCUUCAGAUCUCCGGCAGACCUGGAGAAUCUCACUGGUGCUCUGUCUCUGUUAAGGGACGGAAAGACGCUGCUGCAGUAAAGCCCACAGCCUUUAGAACAGGUGCUUUAUUGCAGAGCACUGGCAAAUACCCCGUGUUCUCCACAAAGCUCGUUGUUUUAACUUGUUCCUGUGAUCUUGCAUCCAAUACAGCAUAGUGAGGGCCAAGCCCUGCUUGUCAUCGGAAACCAUUGCAUGACUAUUCUGUGGGACUAACAAAUCUGUUGAGAGAGAGUUACAGACAAUUAUGUGGAAGAGAGAGACCAGCAUGUGUUCACUUUACUUACAGUGUAUCUCUGCUGGAAGGCACGGGGACAGUAGCAGAAACAUAGAGCAUGGGGCUGGGAAAAAAUUAGAGGGAGAAAAAAAGGAGAAACAGAAGCAGAAGAAAGAGUAGGACAAACAGGAAACUGAAUUAAAAGUUGUCUGACUCUUUUCAUAGCAAGUAGCAUAAAUGCAAUAAGCAUGGAAGACAGCCCUUAAGAAAUGACCCCUGUGUGUGUGUUUAUGAUAAUGCGUGGCAUACAUCUGUGGGUUUUAGAUGGUGUCUGGUCUCUGAUUAAGAAGAAAUGCCUUCCUAUUAUUUAACAAUCUCUAAUUAGCCAUAUUCUCAUUCCACAUAGGAGUUGACAAUUCCUUUGUGGGUGCACUCAGGCAAUGGCCAGUUCUGGAGACACGGCAAACCAAAGGGAUGGGGUGCUAUAAAGCUCUUGUGUGACUUUGGUGUCUCUUGGCAUCCCUGGGAAGCUUGGUUAUGGCAUGGUAUCUCUGCAGCUUCCCUGGCAUGGCUGGGAGAGGUGUAUUGGUAGGGUUCAGUUCAAUUACUGUGACAAAGGAGCUGAUGAAGCUCUGUGUCCUUGGAACACAGUCGUGGCCUGGAAAUUUUUAUGAGCUGUGCGGGGCUGAAACCCCAUUCCCUUGGGUUGUGAGCUCAGCAGCUUUUGAGCUCAGCCAUUGUGGGUCUGGGCAGAACCCGCAGGGGAGUCCUGUCAGGGAAAACCCAAGGGCUGGAAGGAAAUGUUGCUGAUGACUCAAUAGGCAGAGCUCUUCCCUCUGUUGAUGUUGGAGCUGAGCCACACAGACACAUCCCUCCAUAAUUACCUACUGGUUGCCUGAAGUUCAUGCUUUUUAACCACUGGCAUUCUCGUUUGCAGUCCACACACCCAGACGUGUGAUGCUGGAAUCCACACACGAGCCUGGGUAUUGCAUCGAUGCUUGCAGGCUCUGAGAAGAAAGGAUGUGUUUGCCUCCGGGAAGAGGUGUGUUUGCCCAUGCAUGCACGUGUUAUUGAGCCUCUACAGAUGCUCUGACUGCAGGAGGUGAUGUCAGGUGGCAGUGGUUUGGUGUUUGGGGGUGGGUGUGGGGCAGUUAGGUAGCGUGGAUGGGGGAAGGGAUGGAUUGGGAUGACAAAACAUCAUGACAGAGGGAGAAAAAUCUCAGUUGUGUCCCACAUUAAGCAACAGAGACCCUUAGUGGUCACCCGGUGUAAAACACAGUGCUGUGUGAUGGAUUGCUUUUUUUUUUUUUUUUUUGCAUUUGCUCAUUUCAGACAUGAAUUCAUGUAAUAACUUGAACUUCAGAAACAAAAAGAUGUUCAAUUUCAAUUGUUUUAACUGCUGUGAAUAAUUUCACUUCUGUUUUUUUCUGGGUUCUUAAUGGUCUAUUUUGAAACAAGGAGGUGUUUUGUGAAACUGACACAUUUUCAAUCCCUAUUGAUCACCAUAUGAUAUUGCUGUAUUUCAAGCAGCAUCACAAUAACCGUGUUCUAAGAACACUUCAGAUAUUUUAGGGAAUUUACUUCACCUGGUUUUGUGCAUCCAGGCACACUGACUACCUCGCCUCUUCUUCCCUGCUUCUACCAGCCUGGUGUCAGAGUGAAACUGAAUUUGGUGAAUUAGCUGGCUGGAUCUGCAACACCCUCAUGCACCCUGCUAGCAAAUGCACAGAUAAUCUGACAAAUAUUGCUGUUCCUAGAGGAGUUAUUUCGAUGUGAUUAGCCUCUUUGCUGCGAGUGGCAGGGGGGUCAGCCUACCCACGCGCUGCCUUCCUGUCCCGAGAGGCCUACUGGCGUGUGGGCCUCUGAUGGCUCUCAGUCUCUCUGGAACAACUUAGGAAAUAACCAGCAUCAGGAAAAUCAUCCCAACUCCGAGGCUUUUUAUGGGGUUUGCUCACUGUCAUCUCGGUGGUCAGAGACUGCUGCCCUUCAGGUGACCUCUUGUCAGGCUGGCAAUCAGGCAGGAUGGGCUGCACAUCUCUGGGGGGUGGCUCAUUUGGGGUAAACCACAUGGGGAUGUGGAAAACAAGGAUAAUGGUCUGACUUACCUUUGCAAAGAGCUUAGAGAGCUGGGCUGACAAGUGUUUUGAAAGAGCUAUACCCUGUUACAGCGACACUGCCUUUGCCUGCCCCCACCGCCAAGCUUCAGCACAGGCAGACUUUAAGGGCUCCCUGAGGACUCUGCCAGCAGGAUUUCUUAUUUUCCUUAUUUUACUCUCUUCCAGUGAUGUUCAGCCACAAUGUAUAUUACAAAACGAUUAUGGCCAUGAUUAGGGUGCUGUGUUAUCAUCACCCAGUGAAUAGCCAUUCCCUGGAUCCCACUGGAAUCCACUUCCAUUCCUUGAAGUGACAGGCCAAAAUUAAAAUGGUCCUGCAAAAAAAAAAAAAAAAAAGAAUCCAGAAAGCUGAGAUUUCUUCUCAGCCCAAAUUCCCUUCAGCAUUGGUGUUAUUAGCAUUUAUUAUUAUCUGUCAAUGCUCUAAGUAGUAAAUUUUCUGAGGUCAUGAGUUAUUGCUUCAUCAAGAGAAGCUGCAAAUGAGGCUGCAUGCAAACAGGUGAAUGGAUGGGCUUAGAGCCUCCUGAGCCUGAACAACCCCCCUGUAGCUGGAGAAAAGGUUCCAAGAGAUCAGGCCUUAAGGUUGGUGUCUUGAGCAUCACUGUGAGACCUCUUCACAGAGCUUUCAACUCUUGGUCAAGUGUCAGUAGAGUCCAUCUGAGUAAAUUGUCCUCCACUGAGCAGUCUUCUCUGCUCUCGUCCCAGGAGCCUCCCCUGGAAAUCUGCCAUAUGCUCAAGCCCAGCCUCAGCACUGACAGCUCUGGUUUACGUACUGGUUGGCAGACAGUCUGCAUCUGUAGCAGAUAACGUAUGUGAAACAAGUGGUGAUUGUUUCUUUAAGGCCCCCCUCCUCUCUCUUCCCCUCUCUACUAUUUCUCUCUUGAUAAUCCUGCUGAUGCAGAAUUUUUCUCUUGCUCAAUUUCAUUGCACCUGCUCAUCUAAACCAGGCUGCGUGGAGUUUGCUCAAACUGAGCUUCAUCUGACAGCAGAAGCAGCACCCAAAAGCACAUUCAUACGCAGAGAAGAGUCAUUACUAUGAAGAGUGAAGCCUGGCUUAGGCAGCUUAGAUACCUGGCUUAGGUGGCCCAUAGCAGCUAGCCACUAAGUGAGGGUGUGCCUUCAGUUAAAGGUCAAAUCAGCUGUCAUGGAAAACUGCAGGGAUAUUUCAGAGAGGCGGUAGUAAAACAGGAGGCUUUCCUAUCAUCCUAUCUGAUCUAGAUAUUCAGCCUGCCUCUGCGUCUUCAUUAUUGCUUUCUGUGCUCGGUGUGAACCUGCCUGUCCACCUACAUGUGCUAAAGGCAUAGCACUCAGCUUGUCUUUUGUGAUACUGAACCUGACUUGAAAUUGGAAUUACCAUAUUGUGCUGUACUUGUGCCUCCAGGACAGGCUUGUACUCUCAAGCACCUAACAUGUAAGCUGAUUUGUCUUCAUUCCUACUUUACCCUGAGUUAACUAACUUGAGUUAGCCAGCCUGCACUCAGAACACAUCUUUGCUGUUUUCUUCACCGUUCUGUGUAAGCAGAAGGGCUCGGAGAUGGAUCGGAAGGCCUCUGUGGCCAAGUUUCGGAAGGCUGGACAUGUGGGGAGUGGUUGGUGGAAGCUGCCGAAUGGACUGAGAAGCCUGAGGACAUCGGGGCAGCAAAGGGUGGUGAAGAUAUCUCAGAGUUUGAUACAACAGAAUAGAUUUUAGGAGAGUGAUGGUGACCAGAGGCUGUGAUUUAACCAUAAUAUUGGCUUAGUAUUAUUGCACUUAAGCAAGCAGGGCUAUGAGGCCAGGGUUGGGCCAACACAGUGGUUCAAGGAAAAGCUCAAGUGUUCCCCAGGCCUUGUCAGCUGACAAAAUAACUGUGGUAAGGUUCAAAGAUUUAUUGCAGGGAAAACAGGACUCCUUGGAGUCAGGGUGGGGGUUAAUCAAUGUACAUUCAUUGUUAAUUUAUGCAUGUAAGCGGGUUCUGGAGUACAGUUGCCAUGCUGGUUUUGAUAAUGCUAACUGCAUCCACCCUGCCAGCUGCUGCAGUGUCGUGGUAGUCUGUGUUGCUGCGUGCAGAAUUAUGGUGUUUUUGUGGGAAUAUUAUGUUCCCUGAAUAGAGCCCCACAGAGCAAUUUGCUUCAUCCUUACAAACCCAUCCAAAUAACUGGCAGUGCCUUACAAAUACAAAACAAUUGAGCAAAUAAAUGUAUUAUACUGUACAUCUGUGACAAAACAAUGCUUUCAUGUGCAAAGAGAAAUGUGUUUGUUUAACUUAUGGUCUCCCAUUUGGAAAUAAAUGCAUCCAUUUAAAUCAAAAUGGGACGUUCUUCACUAUUACAGUAUUUUGCAUGCCAGCUGUAGGAAAUAUGCUGCUUGAAGAGCAGACUCAAAACUUGGAGUGGUAUUACCAGACGCAUGCUUGUGCUGGCUUAUCCUAGACACCACCUCUCUUUUUAUAGGGGGUCCUCUACAUUUGAGUAUGAAUUUCCUGGCUUUGCAUGGCUGGGACAGUUUCUACAAAAAUUUGGGAGUGUGCUUCUCCCUUGUGUGGUAGUCUUGUCUCUUUUGUGCACACUGGAAUGCCUGCCUUUCACCUGAUCUGUAUUUAGAAGAGAGUGCUAACUGAUGGGCAUGCCUCAGAACUUUGCAUUACCAUGACCAUGAGGCACACUGAUUUUCUGCAAGAGUUGUGGCAGUCCAAAUUUUUGAUUGUUUCCUCUUUUUGAUUGUUUCCUAUUUUUGUGUUAAAGAAAUGUUAGUUUCAUUUAUAUGCUGCAGUGAAAGUGAUAGAUGGGAAGAAAAACAAUAAAAUACAGAUUGAAUGUUCCAAUAUUUGUUUUUUAAAAUGUACCACAUUAAAAGUGCCUUAUAAAUGGUUGAGUUCUUGUAAUGAAAGUCUGCUGCAUUUCGGUUUACACAUAAGCUUAACAUCAUCAAGCCAAGUUUGUUCUGGGUGUUAACAUUUGCAUUUUUGAAAGCAGCAGCCUAAUCCAGAGCAAAACCAGAUGAGAAUGUACUUUAAUACAGCACAUUACCAGCUGUGUGCCGGGAGGUGUGAGCAUUCUCAAAAAGGCACUGAAAUUUGAUUUGGGUAGUUUUCCGAGAGUCUGUGAACUUAAUGGAACAAAACUGAAGAUCGCUGCUACCAGUAGCAGGAGUUAUAAACUGGAAUUCCACAGUGACAUGAUUACUAGAAGGGAAAAUAACCAAGAAAUAAUCAAUACCCCUGAUUUUUUCUAAUGUGAAUUUCAAAUAUUAAUAUUAAGACCAUUUCCUAGGCUCAUGAUUCUUCCUUAAUAUAAAUAAUUAUUCUGAUUACGGGUGAGAAGGAUACAGUUGAGAGUUUUAGCUCCUCUGCCCAUAUUGUCUGACCUGCACUGUCCCAUAGUAGUAAUUUCAGGUGUACUAUAAGGUCUGUGCAAGCAAUGUGAUUGUAAUGUCCUUUAGUGGCUGAAGGGCCACAAGUGAUGAGAAUCACAGCUCAGCAAGCCUCGCAUUAGUAAAUGCUCUGUAGUUCAAUUUGGAAACGUCAUAGUCUUCAUCUACCCCAUUUGGACCGCAGCUAUCGUAUUGUUAUAUCCAUCCAUCCAGGGAGCGUGGCAUGUUAGAGCCAGCAGGAAAUGCGGUGUGUUUCUGAAAGCCAGCACCUGUAUUGAUUGAUAGCCUGAGAGGGCUGUGCAGCAAAGGUGGUUUGGCCUAGCUCUGUUUUUCCUCUGGAUUGAUUAAUCAAAUACUUCAAAUAAUUGCUGCGGUUGUGAUUAAUGUUGACUGCAUAGCUAAUUACCCAGAAGAUUAAAAUAACUUUUUUUUUAUAAAAAACUGUAAAUGAGUGUAUUUACUCUGCUCACCCUUCUAACCUUGUUAUGCUUGUAAAUGAAUAGAAAUAUUGAUCCCAGGUGCUACCCAUCUUGCAUCUGUUUAAUUAGGGCAUUAAUUGUAACCCUGCUCACUCACUCCUUCCGACCACCCAUGCUUUCUGCUAUCUUUGUGUAGAUGUCUUGAGGGUGGGGCUGGGAGGGAUCAUUAGGAUAUAUCUGACCUCCAGGACUUACAGGAUUUCCCUGUGCCAGCCCCAUUACUAACUACUCUACCUAAGCUUCUUCUGGCUCCUUGCAACAGUGCCUUCUUGACCAUAUCUCUUGGUAGCAGACUCCACCACCCAGUGGCUGUUGCUGUUAAAACAAUUUUCUGUUUCCUCAGCGAGGUGUUUCCUUCUCUUUGCUUCAAGCCACAUCUUGUUCUUCCAUCUUGUCAGUCUGAGAACGUUUUUCUCUGUCUGUGCACACAUACAAACUACGUUUUAAUUAUGUGCUUAGUUGUAGGAAUGUGUUUCUUGACCAUGGCAGAGCAUGUCAGAAGGCUAGAGGUUUGCCAGUAGAGAUGUCUGCUGUAUUUACCACCAGGGGACACACCUGAAUGUCUCCCAGACUGGCUGUUUUGGCUAGGGGUUGUGUGCCCCAUCACUUUUCCACUCCCAAAGCAGAGCUUCACAAACAAGUUCCUAACAAAAUGUGGGCCUCCUUGUCAAACUGGCAAAAAGCGUGUCAAUUUUAGGAGCAAUAUAAAGGGUGUACCACUUACUGAAGGGACAGCAACCCAGAGAGCUCCUCUGCUCUUACAUUUGUGGAGAUAUAAAUGAAAGAAGCUUUAAGAUCAGCCUCUUAAAGCUCAUGUCAGCUCUCUUCAGUCAGUGCCCUGUGCUUCCAUUUCCUUGCAAUUUGGUUUCCAGAAAAAGAUUGGGUGUCCCAGCAUAUUCUUAAAGCAUUGCUUUAGACAUUGCCAAGCCCAGGUCUUUCUCCAGUGCUAAGACUCCCUCUCAUGCAUGGCCAUCUGGAUGCUGUGGUGGAGCUGUCUCCCUCUUGCUGAAAGACAUUCACAUCUCUUCCACAGCUCUGCUAGAAAUUGCUGCCAUUUUGUGUUUGCUUCUCUACAGCCUGAGUAGCAGAGAUGGCCACUGCGCUGCCUCUGUUGGGAAGACUUUGUGUAGCACACUGGUCUGGCUCUUAUAUUUUGCCUUUUUUUUUUUUUUCCUCAAUCCAGAGCGUAUGCACUGUUCAUACUAAGCUGUAGAGACCACAUUUGUCCUGGGGAGCUCUCAGGUGGCUCAUGGAGAGCUGAAAAGGUGGCUAUCGCAUUUCCUUCUUUUCCCUUUUCCCAGGUUUCCUAAAACUCUGACAUUGCUCUUUAUGAAGAGAAAACAUGACAAUUUGGCCAACUAUCUGUGCAUCGUGGGACUUGUCUCAACUCUUUUUGUCUUACGCAAGUUGAUGGGCUUGAGCAGGCUGGACAGUGACUGUCAGAAAUAGUCUUUCAGAAAUGCAGUACCAGCCCUCAAAUCCUAAACCAUCUGUCAUGGUCAAAUUAAUGUAACCUUCUCCCUGCUGUCAGUGAGAGCUGGGGAAGUACAAUAGCAGCCAGGGCUUGGUCCGGUAGGACUGGUGUGUUCACGUGGUUUUCUCAUAUACUUGGGUCUGUUCCACUGGCUGCCUCGUGGCGGGCUCAAUUCUCAGUCCAGAGCAGAAAUGGUCCACAUUUCUGCUGAGAUAUCCAAAUUUUCCUGUUGUUUCUUUUUCAGCAGGAGGCUUAGUUACGGCAACCUCAGGGCUAUAUGGCCUUGGUACAGGCAUGGCUGGUGCUAGUGUAGCCUACAAAGAUCCAACACAGGAAGCACGCCUGCUGCUGGCCUUGGUGCCUUGUAAGUGACUGUAAGGAUCCCUCUAGUUAGGAGCAGAGGAGAAAAAAGGCAAAAGCUGGUGAAGCUUUAGCACCUGCCUCAAGCAUAGUUCAGCUGAUGAGAAACACCAGUCAGUGCUCUCAGCAAGGGACCUGAUUCCAACCAUCACGCUUGGACUGAGACAGAAUAAUGUGCCAGGGAGGGGAGAUAUCAUAACUUGUGGAAACAGACAGCUUUCCAUCCGCUAGCCUUCUGUGACUCUGUACUGCAAUUCCGUUCAACUGGUUACUCCUUUAUUAUCCAAACUCUCCUGCAACUCCUGAUACUGCUAACUUGUCACAGAUAGCACAAUCACACGAAGGUUGAAACGUCUGCCUGCAGACAUGAAAGGCUGACAGAAUGGAGCAUCUGUCCAGGGGAACCUUGAGAAACUGCAGGAUUUUGCCUACAGAAACCUCGUGACAUUUACAA
Non-coding RNA from Anas platyrhynchos (mallard), 12861 nucleotides. NCBI's taxonomy places the organism in Eukaryota, Metazoa, Chordata, Aves, Anseriformes, Anatidae. The record is from RefSeq and is a predicted model, not a curated record.